AUACGGAGGGUGCAAGCGUUAAUCGGAAUUACUGGGCGUAAAGCGUACGUAGGCGGUUCGUUAAGUUAGAUGUGAAAGCCCCGGGCUUAACCUGGGAACUGCAUUUAAAACUGGCGAACUAGAGUUGAGUAGAGGGGAGUGGAAUUUCAGGUGUAGCGGUGAAAUGCGUAGAGAUCUGAAGGAACACCAGUGGCGAAGGCGGCUCCCUGGACUCAAACUGACGCUGAGGUACGAAAGCGUGGGUAGCAAACGGGAUUAGAUACCCCGGUAGUCC
Molecule: ribosomal RNA, 274 nt
Filed under: uncultured bacterium
Lineage: Bacteria
Description: partial 16S ribosomal RNA
Rfam family: Bacterial small subunit ribosomal RNA
Source: RNAcentral